GGGGCUAUAGCUCAGUUGGUAGAGCGUUUCUUUCGCAUAGAAAAGGUCGCCGGUUCAAUUCCGACUAGCUCCA
RNAcentral lists this transfer RNA (73 nucleotides) under Aeriscardovia sp. RNAcentral's name for it is "tRNA-Ala". It matches the Rfam family "tRNA". From Rfam's summary of the family: Transfer RNA (tRNA) molecules are approximately 80 nucleotides in length. Their secondary structure includes four short double-helical elements and three loops (D, anti-codon, and T loops). The record is from RNAcentral. Lineage: Bacteria; Bacillati; Actinomycetota; Actinomycetes; Bifidobacteriales; Bifidobacteriaceae.